This 303-nucleotide ribosomal RNA is filed under the name uncultured bacterium. RNAcentral's name for it is "partial 16S ribosomal RNA". It matches the Rfam family "Bacterial small subunit ribosomal RNA", at positions 507 to 807 of the family's 1533-position model. The record is from RNAcentral.
AGCAGUAGCCGCGGUAAUACGUAGGUGGCAAGCGUUGUCCGGAAUUAUUGGGCGUAAAGGGCUCGCAGGCGGUUUCUUAAGUCUGAUGUGAAAGCCCCCGGCUCAACCGGGGAGGGUCAUUGGAAACUGGGAAACUUGAGUGCAGAAGAGGAGAGUGGAAUUCCACGUGUAGCGGUGAAAUGCGUAGAGAUGUGGAGGAACACCAGUGGCGAAGGCGACUCUCUGGUCUGUAACUGACGCUGAGGAGCGAAAGCGUGGGGAGCGUACAGGAUUAGAUACCCGGGUAGUCCCUGUCUCUUAUAC